UGAGGACAUGGUUGGAACCCGCACCCUCAUGGAUACUAGUCAGAUUCUCAGAUUCCCAGGGGGAAAAAGCAGUGCAAAUAAAUGAGGAUCACACAAUCAUCGCCACCAGCUCAGGGCCUCUCUGGGUUGAUUCAUGAGCUUUCAAAAGGCUCACUCUAUCUGAAUGAUGAAACAAAGGCAAUCGCUUGCAGAGAAGAUAGCCGAAACUAUUUGUGGAUGCUGAGAAGAAAGAUAGGUAAGAGCAAGAUAUUGAAGAUCUUAUAUUACUCCCAGAGAUGAUACUGCUAUAGAAAGAAAUAUAAGGAAAUAACACACUUUGAGCCCCUCGGCACUGUGUAUUCACAAAGAUAUCUUUACUCCACAAUUAUUUCCUCUGAGCACCAUAUUGAGGACAUCUCCUCAUUUAUUAUUAAAUUUGUUAUGAAAAAAACUUCUCUAUUACUUGAAUGUAUAGUGUUUAAUAGUGUAAUUAUUGCAUCAUGGUUAAACUGCAUCAGUCUAUAAGUAGCAAAAUUUAAUCUUAUUAAACAUACCUUUACUCUCAGUUUAACAUUUAAUCCAUUGACAUCUGAGACAGAUGAAUAAAGAGGAAUUAAAGAGCAGGCUGUAUUUGCUCACUUCUGGUAAUUAUUGACAAUUACUAAUAAUAUUAAAUAAAUAUUAAUGUUAAAAUUAGUAAAGCAUCAAGGUUUUGUUAAAGCAGGUAUCAAUAGCAGCAAAUGCCUACUUUGAAGAAUGCAAGUACUUUCUGGUAUUCUCCCAGGUUGGAUUUAGUGAUGCAUCUCCUUGGACUCAUGCGGCAUGGAGAAGCUUGAACUGAGAUUCUUGGAAAAGGCAGAGAGGUCAAGAGGAAGAAAGGAAAUCCAGGAAGAAGAGACUCCAAGGUUUCAAUUGGAGACAAAUUCCAUCUACACAUUCUACAAAGAGCCCCUAUAAGAACUGUUAAGACCCUGAGAUGCUCGUGUGUCCGUGAUCUGGCCUCAAAUAAGAAGAAGUUCUUUCUGGUUCUGGACCAGCACACCCACCCUGAUGCUGAGGAGCAUAAGAGCAAGUUUAGAGGUCAGUGAUGGAGUAUUCAUUUUAGGAAAGAUAAUGGAGACAAUAUCAAAACUGCAAAUGGAGUACUGUAUCAGAGUUUAAGUAGCAACUUGAUACAACACAACAGAUGGAGCUAAAACUGAUGUAUGCAACCUAAAAACUGGCAUUUCUCCAAAUAUAAUCUUUAAUUAAUUAACACAGGAGAAAAGUUUCAUUUUAUUGUCUGACAUAUCAAAACAAUUCAAUAAAGUAAAAACAAGAUGCCAUUCAUAAUUCUAGUGCAACUUGUGGAGCAUUCAGACAUUGAAAUUGUCAUUAAUUACUAAGUUAGAGUAAGGCCUAUUCAUUAGAAGUCACAUGAUUAUAUUAUUCAAGGUUAAAUUAGAUUUACACCUUUAUGUGCAGGUACAUUAGUAAAAACAACAUAUAUAAAAUAAUACAGAGGAAAUCAUAUACAUACGUAUGCGUUUGAAAAGUUUUUUUACCUUUCCUGUUGUGAUUGGGAGGGCCUUUUUUUUCUUUUUCUUUUUUUUUUUUUUUUUGCUAUUUUAGGG
Sus scrofa (pig) is the source of this 1592-nucleotide non-coding RNA. NCBI's taxonomy places the organism in Eukaryota, Metazoa, Chordata, Mammalia, Artiodactyla, Suidae. The record is from RefSeq and is a predicted model, not a curated record.